UGGGGAAUAUUGCGCAAUGGGGGAAACCCUGACGCAGCGACGCCGUGUGAGGGAAGAAGGCUUUCGGGUCGUAAACCUCUGUCAGGAAGGAAGAACCUCUCAAGGCUGAACAAGCCUUGGGACUGACGGUACUUCCAGAGGAAGCACCGGCUAACUCCGUGCCAGCAGCCGCGGUAAUACGGAGGGUGCAAGCGUUAUCCGGAUUCAUUGGGUUUAAAGGGUGCGUAGGCGGAACAAUAAGUCAGCGGUGAAAGCCCGUAGCUUAACUACGGAAUUGCCGUUGAUACUGUUGUUCUUGAGUACGCUUGACGUGGGCGGAAUGUGCCGUGUAGCGGUGAAAUGCUUAGAUAUGGCACAGAACACCGAUAGUGAAGACAGCUCACGAAGGCGAAACUGACGCUGAGGCACGAAAGCGUGGGGAUCAAACA
This 428-nucleotide ribosomal RNA is filed under the name uncultured bacterium. RNAcentral's name for it is "bacterial SSU rRNA". It matches the Rfam family "Bacterial small subunit ribosomal RNA", at positions 355 to 774 of the family's 1533-position model. The record is from RNAcentral.